UUUCCGUAGGUGAACCUGCGGAAGGAUCAUUAUCGUACAAAAUGUGAGGGGCAUGCGAGGGCUGUCGCUGACCCAAAAGUCUUGCACGCCCGAGUGUGUCCUCUUGCAUAAUAAUCCAUCUCACCCUUUGUGCAUCACCGCGUGGGCACCCUUCGGGAUCAUCUCGGAGGGGGGCUCGCGUUUUCUCACAAACCCCCCUUUUAAAAGUGUAGAAUGACCACAUUUAUGCAAUCAAUACAACUUUCAACAACGGAUCUCUUGGCUCUC
RNAcentral lists this unclassified non-coding RNA (267 nucleotides) under plant metagenome. RNAcentral describes it as "partial contains small subunit ribosomal RNA, internal transcribed spacer 1, and 5.8S ribosomal RNA". The record is from RNAcentral.